Molecule: ribosomal RNA, 253 nt
Filed under: uncultured bacterium
Lineage: Bacteria
Description: partial 16S ribosomal RNA
Rfam family: Bacterial small subunit ribosomal RNA
Source: RNAcentral
UACGUAGGGUGCGGGCGUUAAUCGGAAUUACUGGGCGUAAAGCGUGCGCAGGCGGUCUGUUAAGACAGAUGUGAAAUCCCCGGGCUUAACCUGGGAACUGCAUUUGUGACUGGCAGGCUAGAGUAUGGCAGAGGGGGGUAGAAUUCCACGUGUAGCAGUGAAAUGCGUAGAGAUGUGGAGGAAUACCGAUGGCGAAGGCAGCCCCAUGGGCCAAUACUGACGCUCAUGCACGAAAGCGUGGGGAGCAAACAGG